AUGACACUCUGCCAAAACUGAGGCUUGAUGAUGCAAAUCGAGUAAAAAUCCAUCACCAUUCUCUCGGACAUUUGUACCUUUGUAGUCUAGGAUGGGAUGAUUUCGAUGCUGAAGUGCUAUGUUAAUCUUUUAACAUAACCUGGAUUGGAAAAGCUACUUUUGUUGACAACAUGCUAGAUUUACAGACUGUUCCUUAUUUACUGCAAUGUGGCGGACUUGAAACUAGUUUGUUCGAUUGUAAUUAUACGACGGAUGUAAAAGGUUGUAAUAUCAAAAAAGUAGCUGGUGCCAUAUGUUGUGAAGGUAUGCAAACUUCUUUGUUUUUAACCUAUGUUAAUUAUCAUGAACCGUUAUAUGAGACAAAGGUUUACGGAGAGUAUACUAUCUCUGCAAUAAGUUAAAAUAAAACUUUUUAAGUUUAACAAGUGGUAUUACAGCUUCAUUUUAUUUUAUUUUUUUUCAAAAAGAAACUCAAUUUCAUAUAUUUUAAAUGAAAGUUAAAUUUCUUUCUUAAACAUGUUAAAUUAACAUGAUUUAGGCGUAGGUAUAUUACCUAGUAUAUUCAAAUCUGUCACUUUUAAAUUUAUUAAAAAGAGACAAAUUUUGACAGUCAAAUAAUAAAAUCUGAGCAAAAACGUAGAAUUUAUAAACAUUGCAUUUCAUAACUUGAUGUAAACUCAAUUAAGUGUGCUUAAAAUUAUCGAUUUUUGAUUGGUCUAGACGAGAGGGUAACAUUUAAAAAUGUCAUCCUCUCAGCCAUUUGAUAAAGUAAAUUAACACCCUCGUAUUAGCCAAUCAAAAUAUGGUAUUUUAUCUUUUAGUAUAAUAAAAAAAAAAAUGUUCCAUGUUACAUCGAUAUGAUUGUAAAGUAUACAUUGAUAAUAAGAUAGUAACAUGACAUAAUAGUAUAGUGAGGUAACAAAAUGGUAUAAAAGGUUGGUCAAUUUUCUAUUAAGAUGUUUUUAUAGUAUAAAAUGUAUCUUUAUGAUAUAGCAAUAUCACAUAAUAGUAAAGUAAAAUGACAAAUCAGUAUGAAAAAGAAGCAUAGUGUUAAAAUAAAUCUUCAAAAAAAAAAUGACAUAAUAGUAUGAAAUGGUAACUCCAUUUUAUAUCAAAACAUCUUUAUAGUAUAUACAUACAUGUAUCUUAAGGAUAUAGUAAAUUGAAAGAGUAGUAGUGUCAAAUGUCGUAAUACAAAAUGUAAUAGUAUAGACAAUUUGCUUCAUGUUAUAUCUCAACCUGUUAUUGAUAUGAUUAUUGUUAUCAUAGGGCAGUCUUCUGAAAUAUCAGUCAACCAUAUUCAACAAAUAUGUUUGCGAUCGAAAAGUCAUAAAGAUAGAAGAUAACCACCGGAUAUCCGAAAUUUGGAAAAGAUCUUUAUUUUGUACCUUUUUCUGUGUUACUACCACGUUUAAUAACUAACGUAGCAUCAAUGUAUGAUAUAAGACAUUUUUUGCUUAAAUACAUCAUAUUUUGAUGUUAUCACUCUUGACGUGCAUGUUACAUUUGCUGUAAGAUGUGUAGCAGACAUAUAAUCAAUCGUAUUUUUAUUACUCAUUAUUUUAGUUUCAUUUCGCAUGCAAGGGAAACACAGAUAUGUUACUGUGUGCUUUAUUUUCUUCUCUAGGUACAGCCAAACCAGAGGAAUGUGUCACGAAUUCCUCUUCUAAUAAAGCUUCCGCCGCAUCCUCAACUUUAGG
RNAcentral lists this long non-coding RNA (1700 nucleotides) under Mytilus galloprovincialis (Mediterranean mussel). Lineage: Eukaryota; Metazoa; Mollusca; Bivalvia; Mytilida; Mytilidae. The record is from RNAcentral.